Clupea harengus (Atlantic herring) is the source of this 1557-nucleotide long non-coding RNA. RefSeq lists it as uncharacterized. NCBI's taxonomy places the organism in Eukaryota, Metazoa, Chordata, Actinopteri, Clupeiformes, Clupeidae. The record is from RefSeq and is a predicted model, not a curated record. The transcript has 2 exons.
GCGGGGGCCGUAGACGUAUCAACCCAACUGCAUUACAUAGUCCUUCAGAAUUGUUAAGUGCUGACUGCCCUGUUCAUAGGACUAAAGGGGGCAAAGUGCAAAGAGGAUUGUGAUGCGCUCCUAUAAUGAAUCUUUCAGUGAAGAAUAGAGGGUGUGAGGUUUGGACCACUCUGAAGGCAGCGAGGGUGUGAGGUUUAGACCACUCUGAAGGCAGUGAGGGUGUGAGGUUUGGACCACUGAAGGCAGCGAGGGUGUGAGGUUUAGACCACUCUGAAGGCAGCGAGGGUGUGAGGUUUGGACCACUCUGAAGGCAGCGAGGGUGUGAGGUUUAGACCACUCUGAAGGCAGCGAGGGUGUGAUUUGGGACAGAACGCUGUCAGUGUUGACAGCCAUGGAGACUGUAGACGGAGGUGCUUCAGCAUGUAUGCAAGACAGUGCCCUCAUUGCUCUGCGUUAGGUCCGUCUUCCUUCAAAAGUCCGCCCGACACACUCGCUCGCUCACACACACACACACACACACACACACACACACACACACACACAAGUGAUGAGCGUGAGGUUAGGUUCAGUCCAGCGCUAUGAAACAGGAAGCCCGGGAAUGCUGCACCAAAGACUAGUCUACACUAGCAAACUAGAAAUCAGACGAGUUGAGAACACACACAAAAACACCUCUGAGAUGUAGAGCCGUCUUUUUGUUUGUUUGCUUUGGUUUUUGUUCAUUUAUCUUCGUUGUUAUUUACCUGUCCUUAUCUUGUAGACUUAGAUAUGACCCAGACCUCAACGUGUAGGUGUUUGUACCUGUGCCAGAAUGGAAGAAUGAUGAUGAUGAUGAUGAUGAUGGCUUACACUGCUUCAGUUUGCUCUGCUGAUCACAGGGCCUCACUCCCCGGUCGCAGCUAACUUUGGGUCCAAGUGGUGUGCGUGUUGCAUGGAUCAAACCGAGAUUUUCACUAGGUUUCGUCAGUGCCGAACGUCACUGCUCAUAAAUAUGUAACGCCUGUGCCAAUGACAGGAGCUUUUCUCUCUCUGAGUUGUAUUUCUUGUAUAUUUUCAUUGUUGUGCCAUGUUGAAAUGUAGUAUUUAGACAAAUGACGGUAUUGGAAGAGGAUGGUCACAGGAAGGCUGAAGGUGGUAUUUGAUGAAGCAAAGACAAGUGUGUGUAAGGAAACAUUUAAUUGUACAAGAUAGAUGUGAAAAUCAAAUAGAAUGAAGAAUGAAGGCACUCUCCUAACAAUCAGCAGAGGCUCUUAAACUACCUUCUCAUCUCUCUGUAGCAUUUUAGCCAGCCUGCCCCUAAACCAUCACUGAAAGAGCACUGUGCACUUAGUGUCUUCACGUUUGUUUAUUCAUUGGCUUACACACGCUUGGGCGUGUGUGUGUGUGUGUGUGUGUGAAGAUCAAAUUAACCGAUCAAAAUGAAGUCAAACACAAAACCUGGCUUUUGUUUACACAUUCUGUUCUUAAUACUUGAAUCGGGAGCGUGGAUGAAGCUGCUUUUGUGACGAGGGCAUGCUAAGGGAAGGGGGAAAAAAUGAAUAAAAAUAAAUAAAAGAACAA